GGCCUGUUAGCUCAGCUGAUCAGAGUGUGGUGCUAAUAACACCAAGGUCAUGGGUUCAAAACCCAUGCAGGCCA
Molecule: transfer RNA, 74 nt
Filed under: Poecilia formosa (Amazon molly)
Lineage: Eukaryota; Metazoa; Chordata; Actinopteri; Cyprinodontiformes; Poeciliidae
Rfam family: tRNA
About the family: Transfer RNA (tRNA) molecules are approximately 80 nucleotides in length. Their secondary structure includes four short double-helical elements and three loops (D, anti-codon, and T loops).
Source: Rfam by way of RNAcentral